This 549-nucleotide ribosomal RNA is filed under the name uncultured archaeon. RNAcentral's name for it is "bacterial SSU rRNA". It matches the Rfam family "Archaeal small subunit ribosomal RNA", at positions 330 to 879 of the family's 1478-position model. The record is from RNAcentral.
GUGCAGCAGGCGCGAAAACUUUACAAUGCCGGCAACGGCGAUGAGGGAACCUCGAGUGCCAGGUUACAAAUCUGGCUGUCGUGAUGCCUAAAAAGCAUUGCAUAGCAAGGGCCGGGCAAGACCGGUGCCAGCCGCCGCGGUAACACCGGCGGCUCGAGUGGUAACCGUUAUUAUUGGGUCUAAAGGGUCUGUAGCCGGCCGGGUAAGUCUCUUGGGAAAUCUGGCAGCUUAACUGUCAGGCUUUCAGGAGAUACUGCCUGGCUCGAGGCCGGGAGAGGUGAGAGGUACUUCAGGGGUAGGGGUGAAAUCUUGUAAUCCUUGAAGGACCACCAGUGGCGAAGGCGUCUCACCAGAACGGACCUGACGGCAAGGGACGAAAGCUAGGGGCACGAACCGGAUUAGAUACCCGGGUAGUCCUAGCCGUAAACGAUACUCGCUAGGUGUCGGCCACGGUGCGACCGUGGUCGGUGCCGUAGGGAAGCCGUGAAGCGAGCCACCUGGGAAGUACGGCCGCAAGGCUGAAACUUAAAGGAAUUGGCGGGGGAGCAC